This 253-nucleotide ribosomal RNA is filed under the name uncultured bacterium. RNAcentral describes it as "partial 16S ribosomal RNA". It matches the Rfam family "Bacterial small subunit ribosomal RNA", at positions 524 to 776 of the family's 1533-position model. The record is from RNAcentral.
UACAGAGGUCUCAAGCGUUGUUCGGAUUCAUUGGGCGUAAAGGGUGCGUAGGCGGCGCGGUAAGUCGGGUGUGAAAUCUUGGAGCUUAACUCCGAAACUGCAUUCGAUACUGCCGUGCUUGAGGACUGGAGAGGAGACUGGAAUUUACGGUGUAGCGGUGAAAUGCGUAGAUAUCGUAAGGAAGACCAGAGGCGAAGGCGGGUCUCUGGACAGUUCCUGACGCUGAGGCACGAAGGCCAGGGGAGCAAACGGG